AGAAUCAACGCUGGCGGCGUGCCUAACACAUGCAAGUCGAACGAGAAAGUGGAGCAAUCCAUGAGUAAAGUGGCGCACGGGUGAGUAACACGUGACUAACCUACCUUUUAGUGGGGGAUAACCUAGGGAAACCUGGGCUAAUACCGCAUAACACUUACGAGUCAAAGCAGCAAUGCGCUGAAAGAGGGGUCGCGGCCGAUUAGCUAGUUGGCGGGUAAGGCCCACAAGGCAGUGAUCGGUA
RNAcentral lists this ribosomal RNA (241 nucleotides) under uncultured bacterium. RNAcentral describes it as "partial small subunit ribosomal RNA". It matches the Rfam family "Bacterial small subunit ribosomal RNA", at positions 26 to 285 of the family's 1533-position model. The record is from RNAcentral.